RNAcentral lists this ribosomal RNA (253 nucleotides) under uncultured bacterium. RNAcentral describes it as "partial 16S ribosomal RNA". It matches the Rfam family "Bacterial small subunit ribosomal RNA", at positions 524 to 776 of the family's 1533-position model. The record is from RNAcentral.
UACAGAGACUGCAAGCGUUAUUCGGAAUUACUGGGCGUAAAGGGCGCGUAGGCGGCCAUCUAAGUCAGACGUGAAAUCCCUCGGCUCAACCGAGGAACUGCGCCUGAUACUGGAAGGCUUGAAUCCGGGAGAGGGAUGUGGAAUUCCAGGUGUAGCGGUGAAAUGCGUAGAUAUCUGGAGGAACACCGGUGGCGAAGGCGGCAUCCUGGACCGGUAUUGACGCUGAGGCGCGAAAGCGUGGGGAGCGAUCCGG